GACGAACGCUGGCGGCGCGCUUAACACAUGCAAGUCGAACGGAAAGGCCUGCUUUCCCUUGUGGAUUGCGGGUACUCGAGUGGCGAACGGGUGAGUAACACGUGAGUGAUCUGCCCCCAACUUGGGUAUAAGCCUGGGAAACUGGGUCUAAUUCCCGAUAGGACUGCAGGGUGGAGCCUGUGGUGGAAAACGAUUUUCUAGUGGUUGGGGAUGAGCUCGCGGCCUAUCAGCUUGUUGGUGGGGUAAUGGCCUACCAAGGCGGCGACGGGUAGCCGGCCUGAGAGGGUGGACGGCCACAUUGGGACUGAGAUACAGCCCAGACUCCUACGGGAGGCAGCAGUGGGGAAUAUUGCACAAUGGGCGGAAGCCUGAUGCAGCGACGCCGCGUGGGGGAUGACGGCCUUCGGGUUGUAAACUCCUUUCGACCGCGAGGAAGCCACCUGGUUGGAAGGGUGGUGACGGUAGUGGUAGAAGAAGCACCGGCUAACUACGUG
This 494-nucleotide ribosomal RNA is filed under the name uncultured bacterium. RNAcentral's name for it is "partial 16S ribosomal RNA". It matches the Rfam family "Bacterial small subunit ribosomal RNA", at positions 28 to 507 of the family's 1533-position model. The record is from RNAcentral.